GUUUACUUUCACACAGGUUGUGUCUCAGGUAGUUUCCUCCAGCUGAAGUAACAUUUGUUUAGGCUUCAAACCCUUCUCCAGAACGAAUGAGAACUGACCGAGUAGAUGAAGAUGAUGAAGAUGAUUUGUCCACCAUCUUCUGGCUUUUUCUGAGGGAUUCCAAUGCAUUCUGGGAAGUGUAGUCCCUCCAGUAGAUCAUGG
This is a long non-coding RNA of Perca flavescens (yellow perch), 201 nucleotides long. RefSeq lists it as uncharacterized. NCBI's taxonomy places the organism in Eukaryota, Metazoa, Chordata, Actinopteri, Perciformes, Percidae. The record is from RefSeq and is a predicted model, not a curated record. The transcript is spliced from 3 exons.